GCGGGAGCUGCGGUGAUGGCCGGGCGAGGAGCGGUGCGGCCGGGGAGGAGUACGUGAUGUCGGCCGCCGCAGUCACAGCUGUGCUGGUGGAACUGGUGCCAGAGCGGCGCCACAGGGCAGGGCUGGGCUCCUGCGUUCUGCUCACAAACAUCUGAAGUUAAAUGUUAGAGAAAUAGCGGUUACAGAGCUACAGCUGAGGAGAGUUUGGAGACGAAGGAGUGACGGUGGUUCCUCUGUGUAUCUCGAAGGUGUCCGUAUUUGGGGCCUCCUGGAGGCUGGGCAGACAUUUGGGGACCAUAAACCUUCUUUCCUCUGUUGUUGCUCACUGCAGAAUUGCAUUUUCCUUCAGGGAAAAAAUUAAAAAUGCACAAUACAGAACCAAGAGAUGCUGUAAGAAGUACGACAUGAACAAAUAGCAAUGAAAAACAAUAGGAACAAACAACCGGUCCUUGGAGAUGUUGAGAUCGAUGAGAAGUUCAUUGAGAACUCGCACAAAGUUGAGAAAUGGCAGAUGGACAAAAUUCCCUGAACAGGUCACACAAAAGCUCGUAUCCUGCCUGAAAAGCCUGGAUGCAUUCAGCACACAGCACUGUUAUUACCACAUUCUGCAGCUUCUGACCGCCAUUAGGAAAACAAAUUCUGCUUCCCAAGAAGAUCUGCCUCAUUCCUUCUCAUUCCUUUUCUUCCUUGAAGAGAAAUUUAUACAGCGUUUCUGCAUCUCCAAAGGCACAGGAAAGCUGCAGCUGCUACAAGGCAUUCUGAACGUAACCGAACACAAAGUUUCGCUGUAAAGGAAGAUUUAUGACCAGCUGUUCCGUACAGCAGCUCUCUGGGGCAGAUUGCCAGUGCUUGGUAACACUGUUCUCUCCCUCCUGCUCAGGCUGGGGGAAGAAAUGCCAUCAUUGCAGCCUCCGUGCAACACAGGCAGCUUCUGUGCCCAGCCGUGGAGCUCCUCUGUGCUUAGAAAGCUUGCACUCAUUGCUGCCCGAUUCUUACAAUUACACAAGACCUCACUAAAGCAAUUACCUUUAAUUACAACGCUAAAAAACUUGCAUUUGAGAGUGAACGCUUUACCACAAAGCGUUAAAACAUGGAAUAGGCACAUCAGUGUUAUUUUACAGCCUCUGGCAUUUUUUUUUUUUCCUCCAAACUGUCAUCAAAACAAACUAUAACUCCUAUACCCACCUCCCGCGGCCCGAGGCGAGGAUCCCCCUCAUCCGCCUCAAGGCGCUUCCCGCCUCGCACCUCACGGCCCGGCUCGGCCGGCGCAGCGCCAGGCGGGACUGCAGCGCCCCCUGGUGGCAGCGCCGUGGCGGCACUCCGCGCCCGACGGCCCCAACGGAGGGGGGCGGCGCGCCAUCAUGGCGCAUGCGCGAUACUUCAGUGCCAAUGGAGGCUGAGCGGCGCUGUGGGUUGAGCGGCCACGCUCCCGUUUCCAACUCUAGGAGCGAAGGUAGCGGGAAAGAGCGGCAGCUUUCCCUCAGAUCACGGCCUUCCUGCUGCACACCGAGGCCAGCAAAUAAAAAAAAACACACCUGCA
RNAcentral lists this long non-coding RNA (1540 nucleotides) under Chrysolophus pictus (golden pheasant). RNAcentral describes it as "lncRNA (ENSCPIG00010009954.1)". Lineage: Eukaryota; Metazoa; Chordata; Aves; Galliformes; Phasianidae. The record is from RNAcentral.